Astatotilapia calliptera (eastern happy) is the source of this 1071-nucleotide long non-coding RNA. Lineage: Eukaryota; Metazoa; Chordata; Actinopteri; Cichliformes; Cichlidae. The record is from Ensembl.
CACACACAGACACACUGUAUUCAAUCUGCACUGUUGUUAGCUUUAUCCCCACGCUGGGUUUGAUCCAAUGAUUUGUACGCUGUCGAACCUGGGCACAGUCUCAGCAGCAUCCAGAGAUUAUACCAAAUAUAAGGAGGAGCUGUUUUCUCUCCACAUGCAAGAUGCGACGGCCACUUUUUCCUCCAAUCCAAAGUGUUUCUGUAAACAAUGCUACCCCCAAACUGCUGCUGCUGCUGUGGUGGAAUGUUGACAGCUCUGGAUUACAGUCAAGGCUGUUCAGUCGCUUCAUGGGGAACAAUGAUAUUAUCACACUCUGUGCCAAAUUUGGUAAGUUCUAUUGUGUGUGGAUGAGUCAAGUUGUCCAAAACAAAAGUAGCAGAUGAAUUGAAAACUGAAGAAUCUGGGACAAAUCUGUCCGUGAUGUUAGCUUUCCAGACUGUGCCCAAACGAGUGUCGUUUCCAACAUUAGAUUAUGAAAUACAAUAGUGAGCAUUAAAACAAUGAGAUGUUAAGGGCGAUGUUCUAUUAUAUAGCAUUAGGUUUUCCCAGACUUUAUUAUGAUAAUUAAAAAAUUCAGAGGUAUAUCUGAGGCGGAGGAAAUCUGCCUUUGUCCUGGACAUGGUAUUUUUAAUUUAUUUUGUUUUUUCUUUCCGCUUCCCUCUGAAGAGAAACAUAUUUGGCAUUGUUAAGAAUGUCAGCAGCAUUACACUUUUCCUCUAACCACAGAGCAUUUCAGACUCGCUUGAUUUCUGCUGAUGUUAUUUAACUGCCAUGCUGGGUCAAGCACUAGGCCACAUACUGUACGGUAGCAUUCCCUUCUAACCUCACGUGCGUUCGGCUCAAACACUGUGUCCAUUGCUUAAGACUGUGUUCUGUAACAGCUGCAAGAGUAGCUGCCUCAAACAUUCCUCCUCGGUAAACAUGGGUGGGGCCCACAGUUCACCCAAGGGCUUGUUCUAUGAUUAUUAUUAUUAUUUUUGUGUCUCUAGCAGGAACUCUGUACACAAGCCAUAGAACGCACUGAUGCUCCUAAUGUCUCCUUUGCAAAGAAUAAAAUAUUUUUUAAAAACA